GAUUGGCGUGCGGGGCUGACAACGGGGCUCGCACCCCCGCUGGCGAGUGUGGGGCUGGGCGUGAGGAGGGUCGUCCUCGUCCUCUUCCUGGCAACAGCAGAGCCAGCGUACUUGCCCCCUGUCGUCUCUGGUUCCAGAAAGACAAGCUGUGGCACUUCCUUUUUUCACAACCUUCUUCAUUACCCGAGUCUCUCUUCCUGCUGCUUAAGGGCUCUUCAAGUUUAAGAAGAAAGUUCUUCCUGCAGACCAGCUGGAUGAGGGACCUCCAAACUUGGCCUCCUGGGAUGGAGAGGGACAUUUUUGCUAGCAGGCCUAUUGGUAGGCCAGAUAUCCUGAGGUUCAUUGCGAGCCCUAGAAAUAAAUGACUGCAAGUGAAAGGUGAGAUACAAAGGCACAAUGCUGCAGGUUGUUUUGUGCUAGCCAAAGCUGUUCAGGCAGUAGGACCUCAGCGAAAUCCCGCAUAGAAAGCAAAACUGAAAGGAGAAGCAGGCUGCAAUUGAGAAGCUUACUAAAUAGCCCUGUGGUUCAAUCCUAUUGCUGUGUAGCAGCUGGGUGCAGAAAGAAUUGCACAUACACCCAGGCAGGCAGCUGCAGCACCUUAGCAUGUGCAGCCAGGGGAGGAGGAUGACAUCCAGACUCCUUCCCCUGUGCUGCCUUAGUCCCAUCCUGCAUAUUCCUGCUACUCCCAGCAGUGCUGCUUCCUACCUAAGAUCCACUUGUGAUGUUGUCCAUCUAAGUAUUGUUUCCUGUGGUAUAGGUCAGUGCUGCUUAUGACUCAGACCAGCCCUUCAGUUUCUUUGCCUCUGUUGGAUAGACACAAAAUGCAUCCCACAAACAAAUUAAUCUGUCUCAUGCACAUAUAUAGAUGAUUCCCAGUUAAUUAGAAAACUGCACACUAGCAUCCUUGUCCUAAAUUAAGAGAAUCUUGAAUGGCUGUAGUAUCAGGUACUUAAAGCUACAGAAAUUCUCCCUGCCACCUGGCUUUUUUUUGUUUUGUUCUGUUUUGUUGUGCAUAUCAUUAUGCAUAACAAGGCAGUUAUUUAUGACAUAAGCACAUACAUUUUCAUAAGUUCGGCUUUUGCAGAGGUGGACAAAGCUGAAAAAUGUUCCUCCCCAGUGUCCUUGCAUGAGAGGUAUCCUUGAGGUGCUCCCUCAGCUUCUGUAUAUAAUAACACGCUGCCCUGUAUUGGGAAGGUGUUGCCUCCUCCCUGCAGCCAGGAGAGGUAAUGUUAACACAAAUAUACUUUUACACGUGUUCCUGUAUGUUGGUGAAGUGGCUUUGGAAAUUUGUCCUUCAUGAGCCCUGCAGAUACACUGGGUUACUAUUAAGGCUUUCUGUGAGAGUGCCAACACCUACCAUUUUCUUAUAGUUUCAACUUUUUAAAAACAAAACCUCUGAGAUUCUAGCCCCAGAAGAGGGCAAGAGCUGCUUGUUCAUUUUGGUGCACAAGAGUCAUAUUGCCUCAUGCCAGCAGUGUGAGAAACACUCAAAAUCAAUUAUUUCUGAUCAGAUGCAGAUCUUCGUGAGGUGGCCAAGUUUAUUCGUUACUGCAUUAGCGGGCGCACGCCACCUUGUGGUAAGGAAGAAAUUGUGAGCUUAAUCAGUGAAAUUACACUAUUUUAUACCCUUUCUACUAAGUAUGUGACAUCUCUCCUGUUGCUCAUUGGCUAAGCAUCUCAGACGCACAACCUACUAGACACAGUUGCUAAGGUAUGUUUCCAUAUAAGGUUUAUCACUCACCUGUCGUUUUUCAUUUUUCAAAGCAUCGGGUACUGCAUAUGUUUCAAGACACCCAGUGGUUGCUUCCACCAUGUGCUGUGUGUUAAUGCUCCAAUUCCAGGUACCUGUCUGGAAGAGAAGAACUACAUUCCCCAGGGGGCUUUGCAGUCAGAGAGGAGAUAUAACCUCUGGCAAAGUCACCUGAUGUCUCUUCUUCCUUCGGCUCUCCUCACUGUUGCUCGUCCUGACCUCACACAUUGCCUCAGCACUACUGGAGUUUGGGCUGCUUCCAAAGUCAUUGGCACUGAAAUGCAGAUCCUUCCGGCACCUCGACUGCCAGUGCUGAACUGGAUGUUUAAAGGAAAGGUUCCCUCCACCCAUCAUGCUACUGAUGCUACCUGGGGCAAGUGGAUUGUGUUGAUUAUGCAAGGAGCUCGGAUGGGGAACCUCAUCCAUCCAGGAAUCCUAGAGGUGAUCAUGGACUGGCCUGAAGGUAAAAAGUUUGGAGUGUCACCAGCAGAAGAGGUAUCACAAGCUAAAGAGGCCCCACUGUACAAUGAACUACCAGAAAAUGAAAAGAAAUAUGCCCUGCUCACAGACGGAUCGUGUCGUACUGCGGGGAAGCAUCGCAAAUGGAAAGCUGAUGUGUGGAGCCCCACAUGACAAGUUGAAGAGGCCACUGAAGGAAAAGGAGAAUCAAGCCAAUUUGCGGAGGUAAAAGCUGUCCAGCUGGCCUUAGAUGUUGCUAAAUGGGAGAGGUGGCCAAUGCUUUGUCUUUAUACUGACUCAUGGAUGGUGGCAAAUGCCUUAUGGGGGUGGUUACAGCAGUAGGAACAAAACAACUGACUAAGAAGGGGUAAACCUAUUUGGGCUCCUGAGCUGUUGGAAAGAAAUUGCUGCCCAAAUAAAAAAUAUGGUUGUAAAAGUG
Molecule: RNA transcript, 2648 nt
Organism: Gallus gallus (chicken)
Lineage: Eukaryota; Metazoa; Chordata; Aves; Galliformes; Phasianidae
Exons: 6
Source: RefSeq, a predicted model, not a curated record